This is a small nuclear RNA of Suncus etruscus (white-toothed pygmy shrew), 107 nucleotides long. NCBI's taxonomy places the organism in Eukaryota, Metazoa, Chordata, Mammalia, Eulipotyphla, Soricidae. The record is from RefSeq and is a predicted model, not a curated record.
GUGCUUGCUUUGGCAGCACAUAUACUAAAAUUGAAACGGUACAGAGAAGAUUAGCAUGGCCCCUGUGCAAGGAUGACACACGAACAUGAUCCCUGAAUACAGUUGAG